UGCAGGGUAUAGACCCGAAACCCGGUGAUCUAGCCAUGGGCAGGUUGAAGGUUGGGUAACACUAACUGGAGGACCGAACCGACUAAUGUUGAAAAAUUAGCGGAUGACCUGUGGCUGGGGGUGAAAGGCCAAUCAAACCGGGAGAUAGCUGGUUCUCCCCGAAAGCUAUUUAGGUAGCGCCUCGUGAAUUCAUCUCCGGGGGUAGAGCACUGUUUCGGCUAGGGGGCCAUCCCGGCUUACCAACCCGAUGCAAACUGCGAAUACCGGAGAAUGUUAUCACGGGAGACACACGGCGGGUGCUAACGUCCGUCGUGAAGAGGGAAACAACCCAGACCGCCAGCUAAGGUCCCAAAGUCAUGGUUAAGUGGGAAACGAUGUGGGAAGGCCCAGACAGCCAGGAUGUUGGCUUAGAAGCAGCCAUCAUUUAAAGAAAGCGUAAUAGCUCACUGGUCGAGUCGGCCUGCGCGGAAGAUGUAACGGGGCUAAACCAUGCACCGAAGCUGCGGCAGCGACGCUUAUGCGU
This 523-nucleotide ribosomal RNA is filed under the name Salmonella enterica. Its description in RNAcentral is "partial 23S ribosomal RNA". It matches the Rfam family "Bacterial large subunit ribosomal RNA", at positions 701 to 1221 of the family's 2925-position model. RNAcentral also lists the same sequence under 1 other name. The record is from RNAcentral. Lineage: Bacteria; Pseudomonadati; Pseudomonadota; Gammaproteobacteria; Enterobacterales; Enterobacteriaceae.